AUAAUGGUGUCUUUAGACACCACCUUUUUGUCUUAGAAAUUUUGU
Molecule: non-coding RNA, 45 nt
Organism: Picea glauca (white spruce)
Lineage: Eukaryota; Viridiplantae; Streptophyta; Pinopsida; Pinales; Pinaceae
Source: Rfam